Long non-coding RNA from Octopus sinensis (East Asian common octopus), 329 nucleotides. RefSeq lists it as uncharacterized. The record is from RefSeq and is a predicted model, not a curated record. The transcript is spliced from 3 exons. NCBI's taxonomy places the organism in Eukaryota, Metazoa, Mollusca, Cephalopoda, Octopoda, Octopodidae.
AGCGUGAUGGCAUUGCUGGGAUCUUUGGCACUAUGCAGUGUCGUCCUAUUCUGGCAUUGUUGUAGCUUCCAAUGCCAAAAUUUGGCACAAUUCCUUCCAGGAUCUUCCAGAUAUAUAUUACUGCAUACCUCUCCAGUCUUAGCUCCAGGGAGUACAGUGUUAGCUAUUUCAGCCUUUCCCAGUAGUUGAGCUGUUGCAACGAGACGAUCUUCUUCAUGAAGCUUCGCUGGAUUGCUUCAAGUUCCGCUGUUAAUUUUACACUGUUGGGUGACCAUAGCUGGGAGCAGUAACCCACGCGGCUGAAGACGAAUGUCUUCCAGAGAACCAUC